Molecule: transfer RNA, 75 nt
Organism: Pan troglodytes (chimpanzee)
Lineage: Eukaryota; Metazoa; Chordata; Mammalia; Primates; Hominidae
Rfam family: tRNA
About the family: Transfer RNA (tRNA) molecules are approximately 80 nucleotides in length. Their secondary structure includes four short double-helical elements and three loops (D, anti-codon, and T loops).
Source: Rfam
GUUAAGAUGGCAGAGCCCAGUAAUUGCAUAAAAUUUAAAACUUUACAACCAGAGGUUCAACCCCUCUUCUUAACA